Long non-coding RNA from Daphnia pulicaria, 777 nucleotides. RefSeq lists it as uncharacterized. The transcript is spliced from 2 exons. NCBI's taxonomy places the organism in Eukaryota, Metazoa, Arthropoda, Branchiopoda, Diplostraca, Daphniidae. The record is from RefSeq and is a predicted model, not a curated record.
AAUACUAAUGUCUUUUUUCCUUAGAAGAUAGUUCAAGCGUAAAUACUAAAUUAAAAAAGUUUAAUUUGGUAAUAGUAAAUCUUGAGUCAAACGAUCACGAAGGAUAGACGGGCCACAACUACAGUUAUUUAUAAUGCUUUUAUCUUCUGCCCACUCAAUCUUCUGCCCACUUAUCAUCUCCACCCAAGUUUUGGCUUUGUUUGAGCCUGUCUUUUUAUCAGAAAAAUUGUACAUAUCUAAAAAAAACAGUGUCUGGGAGUGUAAUAAAACUUACCUGGUGGUUCUCUCCACUUCAGGUGUCAGUGCCGUCCAUACCUUUGGGAGCUCAUCUCUACAAGUUUGGGUUCUCGGUAUCAACCACUAAAAAGAAGAAAAAAAAACGCCUCCAUUAUGGGUGUGACAGAUUAUUUGCCGUCAAUAUCGAAUAUGUUCAACAGUAAUUCAAAAGAAAAAAAUUCCACCUAUGGCUUCAUUCAAAUCAUUUCCAAUCCAGCAGGAGCGACCAUAACUUCUGGAGCUGUAGUGGGCAUUUUUGUGUCUGGCAUUGCCACUGGUUUGGCUAUUGCAGCAGUCGUUGGAUUGGGUGCCACAACAUACAUUUGUUACAAUCAAAUGAAUACAAUGAAGACCCAAAUUACAGAAACUGCACACCGAGAACACCAUAAGCAACCGACCGGCUGCGUCAAUUGACUGAAGAUUCAUGUCUUUAGUUUAUCCUUCUUAGCCACUUUACCACUUUCAUUAGCCUACUGGUAAAAUACACAUGUUUCUAUGGCA